GCUGGGCAUGGUGGCGUGUGCCUGUAGUCCCAGCUACUCAGGAGGCUGAGGCAGGAGAAUUGCUUGAACCUGGGAGGUGGAGGUUGCAGUGAGUUGAGGUCGUGCCACUGCACUCCAGCCUGGUGACAGAGUGAGAUUCCAUCUCAAAAAAAUAUAAAAUAAAUAAAUAAAUGCAAAAUUAAAGUGUGGUUUCUUAUGCUAGAACAACAAAGUUUUCUCUUUUUUUUCUUUGAGACGGAGUCUCAGUCGCCCUGGCUGGAGUGCAGUGGCGUGAUCUCGGCUCACCGCAAGCUCCGCCUCCCGGGUUCACGCCAUUCUCCUGCCUCAG
RNAcentral lists this non-coding RNA (328 nucleotides) under Pan troglodytes (chimpanzee). Lineage: Eukaryota; Metazoa; Chordata; Mammalia; Primates; Hominidae. The record is from Rfam by way of RNAcentral.